AGAGUUUUAUCCUGGCUCAGGAUGAACGCUAGCGACAGGCUUAACACAUGCAAGUCGAGGGGCAGCGGGGGUGAAGGCUUGCCUUCACCUGCCGGCGACCGGCGCACGGGUGAGUAACACGUAUGCAACCUGCCCGUGACAGUGGGAUAAUCCGGAGAAAGCCGGUCUAAUACCGCAUGAUCCCCUGUGGAGACAUCUCCACGGGGGCAAAGGAAGUGAUUCCGGUCACGGAUGGGCAUGCGUCGCAUUAGCUGGUUGGCGGGGUAACGGCCCACCAAGGCGACGAUGCGUAGGGGUUCUGAGAGGAAGGUCCCCCACACUGGUACUGAGACACGGACCAGACUCCUACGGGAGGCAGCAGUGAGGAAUAUUGGUCAAUGGGCGCGAGCCUGAACCAGCCAAGUCGCGUGAGGGAAGACGGUCCUAUGGAUUGUAAACCUCUUUUGCCGGGGAGCAAAAGGAGCCACGUGUGGCUCAUCGAGAGUACCCGGAGAAAAAGCAUCGGCUAACUCCGUGCCAGCAGCCGCGGUAAUACGGAGGAUGCGAGCGUUACCCGGAUUUAUUGGGUUUAAAGGGUGCGUAGGCGGGACCUUAAGUCAGCGGUUAAAUUAGCAGGGUUGACCCUCGUUCCGCCGAUAGAACAGGGGGUCCUAGAGUGGGCGAGAAGAACGCAAAAUGCGUGGUGUAGCGGUGAAAAGCAUAGAUUAUCACGCAGAAACUCCGGAUUGGGAAGGCAGCGUACCGGGCGCCCUACUGACGCUGAAGCACGAAAGCGUGGGUAUCGAACAGGAUUAGAUACCCUGGUAGUCCACGCAGUAAACGAUGAAUGCUAAUUGUGUGCCCCGAUUGAGGGGUGCGUGAUAAAGCGAAAGCGUUAAGCAUUCCACCUGGGGAGUACGCCGGCAACGGUGAAACUCAAAGGAAUUGACGGGGGCCCGCACAAGCGGAGGAACAUGUGGUUUAAUUCGAUGAUACGCGAGGAACCUUACCCGGGCUCAAACGCAGGAGGGAUGUUUUUGAAAGGAGGCAGCUCUUCGGAGCCUCCUGCGAGGUGCUGCAUGGUUGUCGUCAGCUCGUGCCGUGAGGUGUCGGCUUAAGUGCCAUAACGAGCGCAACCCCCACCGACAGUUGCCAUCAGGUCAGGCUGGGCACUCUGUCGGGACUGCCGGCGCAAGCUGUGAGGAAGGCGGGGAUGACGUCAAAUCAGCACGGCCCUUACGUCCGGGGCGACACACGUGUUACAAUGGCAGGCACAGCGGGAAGCCACCUGGCGACAGGGAGCGGAACCCGAAAUCCUGUCCCAGUUCGGAUUGGAGUCUGCAACCCGACUCCAUGAAGCUGGAUUCGCUAGUAAUCGCGCAUCAGCCACGGCGCGGUGAAUACGUAACCGGGCCUUGCACACACCGCCCGUCA
Molecule: ribosomal RNA, 1413 nt
Filed under: uncultured bacterium
Lineage: Bacteria
Description: 16S ribosomal RNA
Rfam family: Bacterial small subunit ribosomal RNA
Source: RNAcentral